This 253-nucleotide ribosomal RNA is filed under the name uncultured bacterium. RNAcentral's name for it is "partial 16S ribosomal RNA". It matches the Rfam family "Bacterial small subunit ribosomal RNA", at positions 524 to 776 of the family's 1533-position model. The record is from RNAcentral.
UACGUAGGGUGCGAGCGUUGUCCGGAAUUACUGGGCGUAAAGAGCUCGUAGGUGGUUUGUCGCGUUGUUCGUGAAAACUCACAACUCAAUUGUGGGCGUGCGGGCGAUACGGGCAGACUGGAGUACUGCAGGGGAGACUGGAAUUCCUGGUGUAGCGGUGGAAUGCGCAGAUAUCAGGAGGAACACCGGUGGCGAAGGCGGGUCUCUGGGCCUUACCUGACGCUGAGGCGCGAAAGCUAGGGGAGCAAACAGG